This 253-nucleotide ribosomal RNA is filed under the name uncultured bacterium. Its description in RNAcentral is "partial 16S ribosomal RNA". It matches the Rfam family "Bacterial small subunit ribosomal RNA", at positions 524 to 776 of the family's 1533-position model. The record is from RNAcentral.
UACGAAGGGGGCUAGCGUUGCUCGGAAUCACUGGGCGUAAAGCGCACGUAGGCGGAUUGUUAAGUCAGGGGUGAAAUCCUGGAGCUCAACUCCAGAACUGCCUUUGAUACUGUCGAUCUUGAGUCCGGAAGAGGUGGGUGGAAUUCCUAGUGUAGAGGUGAAAUUCGUAGAUAUUAGGAAGAACACCGGUGGCGAAGGCGGCCCACUGGUCCGGUACUGACGCUGAGGUGCGAAAGCGUGGGGAGCAAACAGG